GACGAACGCUGGCGGCGUGCUUAACACAUGCAAGUCGAACGGAAAGGCCCUGUCUUUGUGGGGUGCUCGAGUGGCGAACGGGUGAGUAACACGUGAGUAACCUGCCCUUGACUUUGGGAUAACUUCAGGAAACUGGGGCUAAUACCCGAUAGGAGCUCAUGCUGCAUGGUGGGGGUUGGAAAGCUUCGGCGGUUGGGGAUGGACUCGCGGCUUAUCAGCUUGUUGGUGGGGUAGUGGCUUACCAAGGCUUUGACGGGUAGCCGGCCUGAGAGGGUGACCGGCCACAUUGGGACUGAGAUACGGCCCAGACUCCAACGGGAGGCAGCAGUGGGGAAUAUUGCACAAUGGGCGGAAGCCUGAUGCAGCAACGCCGCGUGCGGGAUGACGGCCUUCGGGUUGUAAACCGCUUUCGCCUGUGACGAAGCGUGAGUGACGGUAAUGGGUAAAGAAGCACCGGCUAACUACGUG
RNAcentral lists this ribosomal RNA (468 nucleotides) under uncultured bacterium. Its description in RNAcentral is "partial 16S ribosomal RNA". It matches the Rfam family "Bacterial small subunit ribosomal RNA", at positions 28 to 507 of the family's 1533-position model. The record is from RNAcentral.